Molecule: ribosomal RNA, 1074 nt
Filed under: uncultured bacterium
Lineage: Bacteria
Description: partial 16S ribosomal RNA
Rfam family: Bacterial small subunit ribosomal RNA
Source: RNAcentral
GAGUUUGAUCCUGGCUCAGGAUCAACGCUGGCGGCGUGCCUAAUGCAUGCAAGUCGCACGGGUGGCCUUCGGGUCAUCAGUGGCGAACGGCUGAGGAACACGUACGAAUCUGCCCUCCGGUGGGGAACAACGCACCGAAAGGUGUGCUAAUACCGCGUACGCUAGGGAACUAGGAAAGCAGCGAUGCGCCGGAGGAGGAGCGUGCGGCCCAUCAGGUAGUUGGCGGGGUAAGUGCCCACCAAGCCAUUGACGGGUCGCUGGUCUGUGAGGACGAUCAGCCAGACUGGGACUGCGACACGGCCCAGACACCUACGGGUGGCAGCAGCAAGGAAUCUUCGGCACUGGGCGCAAGCCUGACCGAGCAACGCCGCGUGGAGGAUGACGGCCUUCGGGUUGUAAACUCCUUUGAGGUGGGAUGAAACGGACAGUACCACCAAAACAAGCCCCGGCUAACUCUGUGCCAGCAGCCGCGGUAAGACAGAGGGGGCGAGCGUUGUCCGGAGUGACUGGGCGUAAAGCGCGUGCAGGCGGACCGCGACGUGCCGUGUGACAACUCACCGCUCACCGGUGAGGGGCCAGGGUAAACGGGCGGUCUAGAGGGUUGGAGAGGGAUGUGGAAUACCCGGUGGAGCGGUGAAAUGCGUAGAGAUCGGGUGGAACACCAGGGGCGAAGGCGGCAUCCUGGCCAACAACUGACGCUNANGCGCGAGAGCGUGGGGAGCAAACGGGACUAGAUACCCUGGUAGUCCACGCCGUAAACGAUGCAUAUUAUUAGUAUGGAGUAUCGACCCUCUGUGCUGAAAAGCUAACGCGAUAANUAUGCCGCCUGGGGAGUACGAUCGCAAGAUUAAAACUCAAAGAAUUGACGGGCUCCNCACAAGCAGUGGAUCAUGUGGUUAAUUCNAUGNUACCCAAAACCUUACAGGNCUGACUUCCUNUNUACUUUAGAAACUAAGCUCAUUCGCUGGAUAGUNAAAANCUNCAUGGCCUCUCACUCUNUCUGAAUUUGGUUAAUCCCCAACANCCANCCUNUCUUUNUUUNUUUCNNAACCCCCGNCACCGGANAAGGGGAAA